This 301-nucleotide ribosomal RNA is filed under the name uncultured bacterium. Its description in RNAcentral is "partial 16S ribosomal RNA". It matches the Rfam family "Bacterial small subunit ribosomal RNA", at positions 509 to 809 of the family's 1533-position model. The record is from RNAcentral.
CAGUCGCCGCGGUAAUACGAAGGGUGCAAGCGUUAAUCGGAAUUACUGGGCGUAAAGCGUGCGUAGGCGGUUUGUUAAGUCUGCUGUGAAAUCCCCGGGCUCAACCUGGGAAUGGCAGUGGAUACUGGUAAGCUAGAGUGUGUCAGAGGAUGGUGGAAUUCCCGGUGUAGCGGUGAAAUGCGUAGAGAUCGGGAGGAACAUCAGUGGCGAAGGCGGCCAUCUGGGACAACACUGACGCUGAGGCACGAAAGCGUGGGGAGCAAACAGGAUUAGAUACCCCUGUAGUCCCUGUCUCUUAUAA